RNAcentral lists this long non-coding RNA (455 nucleotides) under Oryza brachyantha (malo sina). RNAcentral describes it as "long non-coding RNA (OBRA_LNC003494)". The record is from RNAcentral. Lineage: Eukaryota; Viridiplantae; Streptophyta; Magnoliopsida; Poales; Poaceae.
AAUGGACGUUUCCUCUGAAUUCAGAAUCCAGCUUCAACAAACAAGCAAGUAAGCAACUGAAUUGCAUGCGAAAGUGAAGGACGAAACGGAAAAGGGCGAGUUUUCGUGCAAGUGCACGCCGGCGCCGCCCGCACGCGGCGAGAACCGCAACCACGUCGCCCUCGCCUUCCGCCUAGUCUCCCUCUCGUCCUCUCGUUGCCGUUCCCGCGCCCGUACGUGCAUCGUACGUCCCUUUCAACUGCACGUUUCCUCCCCCUUAAUCCCAGCUCCACUAGCUGCAGUGCUGCACCCAUCGCCAUGCCCGCCACUCACUCUCGGUCAAUGCGCGGGCUUGCUGUGGCGCCAUUGUCACAUAGCUAGGCUGCUAGCUGCUGCUUCUUUCUUGGAGGGCAGAGCGUGCAGGCGCGAGGGGUUUAAAUGGCGGGGGUGCAGAGCGUGCAGGCGCUGGCGGCGAC